Molecule: ribosomal RNA, 1360 nt
Filed under: metagenome
Description: bacterial SSU rRNA
Rfam family: Bacterial small subunit ribosomal RNA
Source: RNAcentral
CGCUGGCGGCGUGCUUAACACAUGCAAGUCGAACGAACCUUCGGGUUAGUGGCGGACGGGUGAGUAACGCGUGGGAAUCUGCCCUCAGGAGGGGGAUAACGGCUGGAAACGGCCGCUAAUACCCCAUAUGCCGAGAGGUGAAAAGAAAUUCGCCUGAGGAUGAGCCCGCGUCUGAUUAGCUAGUUGGUGGGGUAAGAGCCCACCAAGGCGACGAUCAGUAGCUGGUCUGAGAGGAUGAUCGGCCACACUGGGACUGAGACACGGCCCAGACUCCUACGGAGGCAGCAGUGGGGAAUUUUCCGCAAUGGGCGAAAGCCUGACGGAGCAACGCCGCGUGAGGGAUGAAGGCCUCUGGGCUGUAAACCUCUUUUCUCAAGGAAGAAGACAUGACGGUACUUGAGGAAUAAGCCACGGCUAAUUCCGUGCCAGCAGCCGCGGUAAUACGGGAGUGGCAAGCGGUAUCCGGAAUUAUUGGGCGUAAAGCGUCCGCAGGCGGCCCUGUAAGUCUGUCGUUAAAGCGUGGAGCUUAACUCCAUUUAAGCGAUGGAAACUACAGGGCUUGAGUGUGGUAGGGGCAGAGGGAAUUCCCGGUGUAGCGGUGAAAUGCGUAGAUAUCGGGAAGAACACCAGUGGCGAAGGCGCUCUGCUGGGCCAUAACUGACGCUCAUGGACGAAAGCCAGGGGAGCGAAAGGGAUUAGAUACCCCUGUAGUCCUGGCCGUAAACGAUGAACACUAGGUGUCGGGGGAAUCGACCCCCUCGGUGUCGUAGCCAACGCGUUAAGUGUUCCGCCUGGGGAGUACGCACGCAAGUGUGAAACUCAAAGGAAUUGACGGGGGCCCGCACAAGCGGUGGAGUAUGUGGUUUAAUUCGAUGCAACGCGAAGAACCUUACCAGGGUUUGACAUCCUGCGAAUCCCUUGGAAACGAGGGAGUGCCUUCGGGAGCGCAGAGACAGGUGGUGCAUGGCUGUCGUCAGCUCGUGUCGUGAGAUGUUGGGUUAAGUCCCGCAACGAGCGCAACCCACGUCUUUAGUUGCCAUCAUUCAGUUGGGCACUCUAGAGAGACCGCCGGUGAUAAACCGGAGGAAGGUGUGGAUGACGUCAAGUCAUCAUGCCCCUUACAUCCUGGGCUACACACGUACUACAAUGCUACGGGCAAAGGGCAGCAAGCUCGCGAGAGUUAGCAAAUCCCAUAAACCGUGGCUCAGUUCAGAUCGUAGGCUGCAACUCGCCUACGUGAAGGAGGAAUCGCUAGUAAUCGCAGGUCAGCAUACUGCGGUGAAUACGUUCCCGGGCCUUGUACACACCGCCCGUCACACCAUGGAAGUUGGCCAUGCCCGAAGUCGUUACUCCAACCCUA